UAGGGGGCGUAGCAAUACGUCACCGGCGGACGGGUGCGUAACACGUGGGAAUGUACCUUUUGGUUCGGAACAACGCAGGGAAACUUGCGCUAAUACCGAAUGUGCCCUUACGGGGAAAGAUUUAUCGCCAAAGGAUCAGCCCGCGUCCGAUUAGCUAGUUGGUGGGGUAAAAGCCCACCAAGGCGACGAUCGGUAGCUGUUCUGAGAGGAAGAUCAGCCACACUGGGACUGAGACACGGCCCAGACUCCUACGGGGGGCAGCAGUGAGGAAUUUUCGUCAAUGGUCGCAAGACUGAACGAGCAACGCCGCGUGCAGGACGACGGCCUUCGGGUUGUAAACUGCUUUUCUGUGGGAAGAGAACGGACGGUACCACAGGAAGAAGCCCCGGCUAACUACGUG
RNAcentral lists this ribosomal RNA (400 nucleotides) under uncultured bacterium. RNAcentral's name for it is "bacterial SSU rRNA". It matches the Rfam family "Bacterial small subunit ribosomal RNA", at positions 64 to 507 of the family's 1533-position model. The record is from RNAcentral.